GACGUAGGGCGCGAGCGUUGUCCGGAUUUAUUGGGCGUAAAGAGCUCGUAGGCGGCUCGUUGCGUCGGCUGUGAAAACCCGCAGCUCAACUGUGGGCUUGCAGCUGAUACGGGCGGGCUGGGAUUCGGUAGGGGAGACUGGAAUUCCUGGUGUAGCGGUGAAAUGCGCAGAUAUCAGGAAGAACACCUAUGGCGAAGGCAGCUCUCUGGGACGGUACUGACGCUGAGACGCGAAAGCGUGGGGAGCGAACAGG
Molecule: ribosomal RNA, 253 nt
Filed under: uncultured bacterium
Lineage: Bacteria
Description: partial 16S ribosomal RNA
Rfam family: Bacterial small subunit ribosomal RNA
Source: RNAcentral